RNAcentral lists this ribosomal RNA (876 nucleotides) under Triticum aestivum (bread wheat). RNAcentral describes it as "partial small subunit ribosomal RNA". The record is from RNAcentral. Lineage: Eukaryota; Viridiplantae; Streptophyta; Magnoliopsida; Poales; Poaceae.
AUGCAUGAGGAUCUCAUGCAUUCUCAAAACCCCCUUCCAGAUCACAGUGGGGUGAUAGCAGCUUUAUCACGCUUUGGUUGUAAACAGGUUGCGACCUGCCAGGACAAUAACACCACAUUCAAACUCAAAGUUGGACUUAUUGGCUUUGGAUCCAUCGGAAGGCAAGUAGCCGAGGCUUUAUUUGAGAUGAAAGAUGCCGACCUGAUAGCAAUAUGUGAUAGCUCGACAGUUGCUGAAAUGGCUAUUGCUUGGAAGAGCAGCAAGAUCAGUUUAAUGGCCUCUGGUGAAAGUUCACUCAUGUUCAUGAAGCAAACUACUGGAUUUGGUAAAAAUGUUGGCGUCCUGGUGUCAGUUCUCAACCCCAGGCAACACGAGAAAUGCCCUUGGGGCAACAUUCCUGUGAAUUAUGUUAUUGAUACACUUAGUCUCUUCUCCGAGGACAAGCACUUUGUGUACUCAGCACACGACCGGGUUGACCCACCCUGUACCGAUGGCAGAAUUGAUACCGAUUUGCCAAAGCAGCUGCCAAAGAGCCUACCUGGUACUGUCUACACAAUGAUGUAUGCUGACGAGCGAGUUCCCAAUGGCUUCGAUCCCUCAGUGAAAUACUUGAAGGUUAUGGUCAAUUCUGAAGCUGUUAAGAAGUCUAUUGUUGAAAAUUUACCUGAAUGGAAAGGUGUCUCCGCAAACAUUUGCUUCUAUGCUGAAACUGACCCAACAAAGAGGCUAUGUGAUCCGCUGACGGAGCUUCUUUCCAGCAACGAGGAGCAGGAGGCUGAAGAGAACGAACCAGGAGACGGGUUGAUCUCUGUAUUGACCUGUUGCAUCCGUAUCCUGAAGUCUGUGGCAAUCGGAGGCAUCUUCUUGAUGUUCUAG